AACUAUGCGUGUGCCUUUGGCGAUUUCUUUUCCUUCUUUAGACUUUUCUCUUUCUCCUUUCUGAAGAAGGACUAUGCUCGAAAUGUCAAACUCUCUCUUUUCACCCAGCGUCAAGCUAAUGCAUCU
Molecule: long non-coding RNA, 126 nt
Organism: Octopus sinensis (East Asian common octopus)
Lineage: Eukaryota; Metazoa; Mollusca; Cephalopoda; Octopoda; Octopodidae
Exons: 3
Source: RefSeq, a predicted model, not a curated record